RNAcentral lists this ribosomal RNA (522 nucleotides) under Triticum aestivum (bread wheat). Its description in RNAcentral is "partial small subunit ribosomal RNA". Lineage: Eukaryota; Viridiplantae; Streptophyta; Magnoliopsida; Poales; Poaceae. The record is from RNAcentral.
GUUGUGGACGAAUGGAUGAAGCUUGUAGUUCAGGCAUUAGCGCUAAAAGUUGUGGUUCAGGCCUGGAUCCAGUUGGUUCAUAAGAGAGCUAUUCAUCGGAGUGAGAAACCUCUCAUCUUGUAUGGUCCGAUGAUCCAAGAUUGGUAGAGGUUAGCGAAUCUGAACUACAUCUACAACUACAAUGACACAGAGGCUCUGAUGCUUCGAAUGAAAAGAGCACCUUUCGCAAGGCUUGUGCAGACGUUCAUGAGCGGGCUGCUAGAAGAUAUCAUCCACACCUCUGUGGUAGAGCAAGUAGCCAUGUUCCUCCAUGAUGUUGGUCAUAACAAGAGGUUCAGGAUUAUACAAAACACCUUCAGGAGGUCAAUGGAGACCAUCUCCAGGUACUUCAAGCAAGUGUUGUAUAUUGUUGGGGCACUCAGAGGAGAGAUGAUCGUGUCACCAACCGGCCAGACUCCUACCAAGAUUCACACUAGCCCAAGAUGGUAUCCAUACUUUAAGGUGAGCACUAACCGUAUGUAG